RNAcentral lists this non-coding RNA (128 nucleotides) under Acinetobacter populi. RNAcentral describes it as "TPP sequence". It matches the Rfam family "TPP riboswitch aptamer (THI element)". From Rfam's summary of the family: Vitamin B(1) in its active form thiamin pyrophosphate (TPP) is an essential coenzyme that is synthesised by coupling of pyrimidine and thiazole moieties in bacteria. The previously detected thiamin-regulatory element, thi box was extended, resulting in a new, highly conserved RNA secondary structure, the THI element, which is widely distributed in eubacteria and also occurs in some archaea. Lineage: Bacteria; Pseudomonadati; Pseudomonadota; Gammaproteobacteria; Moraxellales; Moraxellaceae. The record is from Rfam by way of RNAcentral.
CAUCGCUUGACGGAGCGCAGUUAACGAACUGCUGAGAUCGCAUAAGUUGUCUUUUGAUCAACUUGAAUGUGAGUACCGUUGAACCUGAUCAGGUUAAGACCUGCGUAGGAAUCAAGCCAUCUAAAAAC